Molecule: ribosomal RNA, 235 nt
Filed under: uncultured bacterium
Lineage: Bacteria
Description: partial 16S ribosomal RNA
Rfam family: Bacterial small subunit ribosomal RNA
Source: RNAcentral
CGAACGGAUGAGUAACACGUGAGGAACCUGCCCCGAAGACCGGGAUAACCCUCCGAAAGGAGAGCUAAUACCGGAUACCCCCACCGGACCGCAUGAUCUGGUGAGGAAAUGGAUUCCGCUUCGGGAGGGUCUCGCGGCCUAUCAGCUAGUUGGCGGGGUAACGGCCCACCAAGGCGUCGACGGGUAGCUGGUCUGAGAGGACGAUCAGCCACACUGGGACUGAGACACGGCCCAG